Molecule: ribosomal RNA, 459 nt
Filed under: uncultured bacterium
Lineage: Bacteria
Description: SSU rRNA
Rfam family: Bacterial small subunit ribosomal RNA
Source: RNAcentral
AGAAUCAACGCUGGCGGCGUGCCUAACACAUGCAAGUCGAACGAGAAAGUGGAGCAAUCCAUGAGUAAAGUGGCGCACGGGUGAGUAACACGUGACUAACCUACCUUUUAGUGGGGGAUAACCUAGGGAAACCUGGGCUAAUACCGCAUAACACUUACGAGUCAAAGCAGCAAUGCGCUGAAAGAGGGGGUCGCGGCCGAUUAGCUAGUUGGCGGGGUAAUGGCCCACCAAGGCAGUGAUCGGUAUCCGGCCUGAGAGGGCGCACGGACACACUGGAACUGAAACACGGUCCAGACUCCUACGGGAGGCAGCAGUGGGGAAUUUGCGCAAUGGGGGAAACCCUGACGCAGCAACGCCGCGUGGAGGAUGAAGUCCCUUGGGACGUAAACUCCUUUCGAUCGGGACGAUAAUGACGGUACCGGAAGAAGAAGCCCCGGCUAACUUCGUGCCAGCAGCCGC